AACACAUGCAAGUCGUGCGAUCUUUCUCGAUUGCGAGCUUGCUCAAAAUCGAGGUUUGAGAUAGCGGCGAACGGGUGAGUAACGCGUGGGCAACCUGCCCUAAAGACUGGGAUAACUUCUCGAAAGGGGAGCUAAUACCGGAUACCUUUGUUGAUAUACAUAUAUUUACAAAGAAAGCCUUCGGGUGCUUUAGGAUGGGCCCGCGUUCCAUUAGCUAGUUGGUAGGGUAACGGCCUACCAAGGCUGUGAUGGAUAGCCGGCCUGAGAGGGUGUCCGGCCACACUGGGACUGAGACACGGCCCAGACUCCUACGGGAGGCAGCAGUGGGGAAUAUUGCGCAAUGGGCGAAAGCCUGACGCAGCGACGCCGCGUGGGGGAUGACGGUCUUCGGAUUGUAAACCCCUGUCGUACGGGACGAACAACCUGGGGAUGAAUAAGCCUCAGGCCUGACGGUACCGUGCAAGAAAGCCCCGGCUAACUCCGUG
Molecule: ribosomal RNA, 485 nt
Filed under: uncultured bacterium
Lineage: Bacteria
Description: bacterial SSU rRNA
Rfam family: Bacterial small subunit ribosomal RNA
Source: RNAcentral